RNAcentral lists this ribosomal RNA (1445 nucleotides) under Kocuria sp. RNAcentral describes it as "bacterial SSU rRNA". It matches the Rfam family "Bacterial small subunit ribosomal RNA". The record is from RNAcentral. Lineage: Bacteria; Bacillati; Actinomycetota; Actinomycetes; Micrococcales; Micrococcaceae.
GGCGGCGUGCUUAACACAUGCAAGUCGAACGAUGAUGCCCAGCUUGCUGGGCGGAUUAGUGGCGAACGGGUGAGUAAUACGUGAGUAACCUGCCCUUGACUCUGGGAUAAGCCUGGGAAACUGGGUCUAAUACUGGAUACUACCUCUUGCCGCAUGGUGGGUGGUGGAAAGGGUUUUACUGGUUUUGGAUGGGCUCACGGCCUAUCAGCUUGUUGGUGGGGUAAUGGCUCACCAAGGCGACGACGGGUAGCCGGCCUGAGAGGGUGACCGGCCACACUGGGACUGAGACACGGCCCAGACUCCUACGGGAGGCAGCAGUGGGGAAUAUUGCACAAUGGGCGGAAGCCUGAUGCAGCGACGCCGCGUGAGGGAUGACGGCCUUCGGGUUGUAAACCUCUUUCAGUAGGGAAGAAGCGAGAGUGACGGUACCUGCAGAAGAAGCGCCGGCUAACUACGUGCCAGCAGCCGCGGUAAUACGUAGGGCGCAAGCGUUGUCCGGAAUUAUUGGGCGUAAAGAGCUCGUAGGCGGUUUGUCGCGUCUGCUGUGAAAGCCCGGGGCUCAACCCCGGGUCUGCAGUGGGUACGGGCAGACUAGAGUGCAGUAGGGGAGACUGGAAUUCCUGGUGUAGCGGUGAAAUGCGCAGAUAUCAGGAGGAACACCGAUGGCGAAGGCAGGUCUCUGGGCUGUUACUGACGCUGAGGAGCGAAAGCAUGGGGAGCGAACAGGAUUAGAUACCCUGGUAGUCCAUGCCGUAAACGUUGGGCACUAGGUGUGGGGGACAUUCCACGUUUUCCGCGCCGUAGCUAACGCAUUAAGUGCCCCGCCUGGGGAGUACGGCCGCAAGGCUAAAACUCAAAGGAAUUGACGGGGGCCCGCACAAGCGGCGGAGCAUGCGGAUUAAUUCGAUGCAACGCGAAGAACCUUACCAAGGCUUGACAUUCACCGGACCGCCCCAGAGAUGGGGUUUCCCUUCGGGGCUGGUGGACAGGUGGUGCAUGGUUGUCGUCAGCUCGUGUCGUGAGAUGUUGGGUUAAGUCCCGCAACGAGCGCAACCCUCGUUCUAUGUUGCCAGCACGUGAUGGUGGGGACUCAUAGGAGACUGCCGGGGUCAACUCGGAGGAAGGUGGGGAUGACGUCAAAUCAUCAUGCCCCUUAUGUCUUGGGCUUCACGCAUGCUACAAUGGCCGGUACAAAGGGUUGCGAUACUGUGAGGUGGAGCUAAUCCCAAAAAGCCGGUCUCAGUUCGGAUUGAGGUCUGCAACUCGACCUCAUGAAGUCGGAGUCGCUAGUAAUCGCAGAUCAGCAACGCUGCGGUGAAUACGUUCCCGGGCCUUGUACACACCGCCCGUCAAGUCACGAAAGUUGGUAACACCCGAAAGCCGGUGGCCUAACCCCCUUGUGGGAAGGGAGUCCGUCAAAGGUGGGAACUGGGCGAUUGGGAACU